GGUGGCUCAGUGGUAGAGCGCUUGCCUUGCAUGCACAAUGCCCUGAGUUCGAUUCCUCAGCACCA
Molecule: transfer RNA, 65 nt
Filed under: Dipodomys ordii (Ord's kangaroo rat)
Lineage: Eukaryota; Metazoa; Chordata; Mammalia; Rodentia; Heteromyidae
Rfam family: tRNA
About the family: Transfer RNA (tRNA) molecules are approximately 80 nucleotides in length. Their secondary structure includes four short double-helical elements and three loops (D, anti-codon, and T loops).
Source: Rfam by way of RNAcentral